This 27-nucleotide small RNA is filed under the name Bombyx mori (domestic silkworm). RNAcentral describes it as "ovarian small RNA-32796". Lineage: Eukaryota; Metazoa; Arthropoda; Insecta; Lepidoptera; Bombycidae. The record is from RNAcentral.
UGAUGACGUUAUCAAUCGACUGUGCUA